UGGUUUACCAGACCCGGAAGGCGCGGGCCUUAGUGGCGGACGGGUGAGUAACGCGUGGGGAACCUGCCCCGUACCGGGGGAUAACACCUGGAAACAGGUGCUAAUACCGCAUAACAGAAGGGGACGCAUGUUUCUUUCUUGAAAACUCCGGUGGUACGGGAUGGACCCGCGUCUGAUUAGCUGGUUGGCGGGGUAACGGCCCACCAAGGCGACGAUCAGUAGCCGGCCUGAGAGGGCGGACGGCCACAUUGGGACUGAGACACGGCCCAAACUCCUACGGGAGGCAGCAG
Molecule: ribosomal RNA, 290 nt
Filed under: uncultured bacterium
Lineage: Bacteria
Description: partial 16S ribosomal RNA
Rfam family: Bacterial small subunit ribosomal RNA
Source: RNAcentral